GAUGAACGCUGGCGGCGUGCCUAAUACAUGCAAGUCGAGCGAAUGGAUUAAGAGCUUGCUCUUAUGAAGUUAGCGGCGGACGGGUGAGUAACACGUGGGUAACCUGCCCAUAAGACUGGGAUAACUCCGGGAAACCGGGGCUAAUACCGGAUAACAUUUUGAACCGCAUGGUUCGAAAUUGAAAGGCGGCUUCGGCUGUCACUUAUGGAUGGACCCGCGUCGCAUUAGCUAGUUGGUGAGGAAACGGCUCACCAAGGCAACGAUGCGUAGCCGACCUGAGAGGGUGAUCGGCCAGACUGGGACUGAGACACGGCCCAGACUCCUACGGGAGGCAGCAGUAGGGAAUCUUCCGCAAUGGACGAAAGUCUGACGGAGCAACGCCGCGCGAGUGAUGAAGGCUUUCGGGUCGUAAAACUCUGUUGUUAGGGAAGAACAGGUGCUAGUUGAAUAAGCUGGCACCUUGACGGUACCUAACCAGAAAGCCACGGCUAACUACGUGCCAGCAGCCGCGGUAA
This 515-nucleotide ribosomal RNA is filed under the name uncultured bacterium. Its description in RNAcentral is "partial 16S ribosomal RNA". It matches the Rfam family "Bacterial small subunit ribosomal RNA", at positions 28 to 523 of the family's 1533-position model. The record is from RNAcentral.